This 2603-nucleotide long non-coding RNA is filed under the name Homo sapiens (human). RNAcentral describes it as "HSALNT0154145". The record is from RNAcentral. Lineage: Eukaryota; Metazoa; Chordata; Mammalia; Primates; Hominidae.
UCUAUAUUAAUCAAGAGGAGACAUUAACUUUACUGCUGACGCAAAACUGUAUUCAGCUAGAUCCACAAUAUGAAAAUGUAUAAGCUCAACAUCAAAUUAUUUACAUCUUCUCUUUUUUAACUUAAUUAGAGUUUUAGCUCCUGUGCCUCAUUUUUUACAAUGUAUGAGAAUCUAGAUGUUUAGCUAACAUCUUUUCUUUUUGGGGGGAAAGGGUAGAAGGAGGGAAUAAAGGUGCCAUUCUUUUUGGGAGAUACAUGAUUUUAAAAUAAUACCCAAAGUCUAAUAUUUUGGCUAAAAAGACUGUUACAUAGCUCAUUUUAACUAUUGUGCUUGAACCUGGAAAGAAUGUUUCUUUUUUUGUCCCUAAGAAAUGGGUAUAAAUGAAGUUUGACAGGAAAUUUAAAGCUACCAAAGCUUUGAAAAUGUUGCCAAGCAUUAGAUUGCCUAUAAAGAAGGUAAAAGGUGGAAAGUCUUACUAAAAAUCUAGAAGCAGUAGUCGAGACAACAAAAAAACUCAUCCUCUUCAAAGUUCAUAUUCCCUGAAUUAUUUACUUAGAAGCAUUAAACAGUCUCUUUUCUCCUGAGGCAAGGGUGUGUAUUCGACUCUGUGAUUGAGAUCCAAGGAAUAUUGGCACUCAUUUUAGGUAACAAUAUUUUGUUACCAGAUUUUGCUGAAUUCAAAGCAUUCUUGAAAAUGUGCGAGAUUUUUCUAUAGUAAAUAUAAAUGCGUUUAUCUGUGAUAUCCUGCAAUUAUUAUAAUAAUUUUGGUUAAACAUUUGUGGCAGUUUUUCCAAGGUCUUUGUUUUCAAGUCUUGAUGCCUGUGGUGAAUUAUUAGUUAAGAUAUUUCAAAAAUAAAAUAAAUUUAGACUUUAGAGCCACAAUAAAGCUGAGCUAGGUUCCUAUUCUGUAUAAUCAGCAACACACAGAAACUCCAAAUCUUGAUUGUUUUGUUGGACCCGUGAAUUCUAUUGGGAAAUAUUUGUUCUUCAAGGCAACCUCAUAAUUCACAUUAGCUAGAAAGGUAGGUGGUAUUUUGUACAUUAAUUUAGUGUAUAACCAGGACAAAUUUCAUUCUGAAUUGCUUUGCUAAAUCAUCACAGAGCUGAGCUCUCCCAUGGUCAGGGAACUCCUUCCAACACCAAGUCAUAAGCACAUAAAGACCCGUUCCUCUAAGCUGUGACCUUUCAUCUGGCUAAGGAGUGGGAAGUCAGCCAUGGACUUUGUGUCGUGGAGUUAACCUCAUGUUCAUGACUUUUCCUCCAUAGAGAAAUAUUCAUUUAUACAUCCAGAAACAAGAAGAAAGGGCAGAGAAUGUCUUGCUUUAUGUUUUUGUAUUGAUAGUGAUGAGAGCUGCCAUUUUUGAGCCAGCAUGCAUGCCAGCACUGUGCUAAGUGACUUACAUGGAUCACAUAUGUAAGUCAUAGUUACUAAUCUUAAAAAAAAAGAAAAAAAAAAUAGGAAAACACAGAUAAGGAUAAAGAAAACAAAAUACGUACUCGUAAGUCUUCUAGCCAAAGAUAACUACUGUUAACAUUUUGGCAAAUAUUUCUUCAGACAUAUUGCAGUACUUACAUAUUUAUUUCUAUAUAUAUUAAUAUUUUCAGCAACUUUGAAAAGGUGAGUUAUCUUUAUUUUAUGGUCAGGUCAAGAUAAGUCAAUUAGGUCAUAGCUAAAGAAAUGGUAGUCUGUCAUUUCAUUCCAGAGUUUUUUUCUAUUUAAGUUUCUCAGUACCAGCUCAUCAUUAAUUUCCAGUGGUUUGAUCCAGAGCUGGGGACACAGUGUCUUAACAUCUCUGAAGGAUGUCUGAUCAAAAGGAAUGCUGAGUAAUCUUCCAUGGUGGCAGCAUGUCCUCUAGUCCUCUCCCACACCCAUACAUUUGGAGCCACAGAGCCUCUUUCUCCCAGUUCUCUUUACAAAACCUUCCUGUUCGCCUUAUUCUAUAGUUAGUCCUUACGGCAUCAGACAGCCUACUUUAAGGGAACUCUUAAACUCUAAUGUUUAAAAAAAGGUCUCUGUAAAACACUUAAAAUGUUAUGGUGCAUUUAAUUUUUAAUUGACGUAGUUUCUAAAUUUUUGAUAUGUUUCUGACAGCACAGUAAGUUUGUCUUAAGGAAGAAGAGUAGUCAGUAUGCACUGUGAAAGCAGAACUAGAAAAUGUCAGUUCCCUAUCUGUGUUUAUUAAGGUACUAAAAUGAAAAUCUUUGUCCUGCUUAAUCAUAUUGCAUCUUCAUUUAGAAAAACACAAAUUGGGAAUGUGAAUUAUUUUUAUUUAUUUAUAUUUUUCUGUGAUAACUCAAGCCAAAUAGGAGCAUUGUGACUUUUAGUUUCAGAAAACUGUUUUCUGAAUGAUGGCUUGGUAGAAGCCUAGCCAAAUUACAGUAUCAGUCUUUGUUUGUUUGUUUGUUUGAACAGAGACAGGGUCUUGCUCUGUCACCCAGGCUGGAGUGCAGAGGUGCAGUCAUAGCUCACUGUCAACCUCAAACUCCAGGGCUCAAGAGAUCCUCCCACCUCAGCCUCCCAAAUAGCUGGAACUACAAGUGCACACCAUCACACUUGGCUAAUUUUUUGUAGAGAUGGGGUCUCACUGUGUUGCCCAGGCUGG